Molecule: ribosomal RNA, 601 nt
Filed under: fungal sp. 14 GM 19-25
Lineage: Eukaryota; Fungi
Description: eukaryotic LSU rRNA
Rfam family: 5.8S ribosomal RNA (bases 238-391)
Source: RNAcentral
CUUGGUCAUUUAGAGGAAGUAAAAGUCGUAACAAGGUCUCCGUAGGUGAACCUGCGGAGGGAUCAUUACCGAGUUCAUGCCCUCACGGGUAGAUCUCCCACCCUAUGUUAUCAUUACCUUCGUUGCUUUGGCGGGCCGUCAGGCUUCGGCUAGGCUAUCGGCUCCGGCUGGUAAGCGCCCGCCAGAGGACCCUAAACUCUGAAUGUUAGUGUCGUCUGAGUACUAUCUAAUAGUUAAAACUUUCAACAACGGAUCUCUUGGUUCUGGCAUCGAUGAAGAACGCAGCGAAAUGCGAUAAGUAAUGUGAAUUGCAGAAUUCAGUGAAUCAUCGAAUCUUUGAACGCACAUUGCGCCCCUUGGUAUUCCGAGGGGCAUGCCUGUUCGAGCGUCAUUACAACCCUCAAGCACUGCUUGGUAUUGGGCCCCGCUGCUUAACGCCGCGGGCCUUAAAAUCAGUGGCGGCGCCGCUGGGCUCUGAGCGUAGUAAAUUUCCUCGCUACGGAGACCUGGCGGUGGUAGCCAUCAACCCCCAACUUUCUAAGUUUGACCUCGGAUCAGGUAGGGAUACCCGCUGAACUUAAGCAUAUCAAUAAGCGGAGGA